Molecule: ribosomal RNA, 325 nt
Filed under: uncultured eukaryote
Lineage: Eukaryota
Description: partial 18S ribosomal RNA
Rfam family: Eukaryotic small subunit ribosomal RNA
Source: RNAcentral
CCCUUAGAUGUUCGGGGCCGCACGCGCGCUACACUGAAGGAAUCAGCACGUCUUUCUCCUUGUCCGAAAGGACUGGGUAACCCGCUGAACCUCCUUCGUGCUAGGGAUUGGGGCUUGUAAUUCUUCCCCAUGAACGAGGAAUUCCCAGUAAGCGCGAGUCAUAAGCUCGCGUUGAUUACGUCCCUGCCCUUUGUACACACCGCCCGUCGCUCCUACCGAUUGAAUGCUCAGGUGAGCCAUUCGGACUUUCAUCAUGCUGGUUUCCAGUUUUGAUGAAGGAAAGUCUUGCGAACCUUAUCAUUUAGAGGAAGGAGAAGUCGUAACA